RNAcentral lists this unclassified non-coding RNA (329 nucleotides) under soil metagenome. Its description in RNAcentral is "partial contains 5.8S ribosomal RNA, internal transcribed spacer 2, and large subunit ribosomal RNA". The stretch from base 1 to 120 matches the Rfam family "5.8S ribosomal RNA", at positions 35 to 154 of the family's 154-position model. The record is from RNAcentral.
GAUGAAGAACGUAGCGAAAUGCGAUAAGUAAUGUGAAUUGCAGAAUUCAGUGAAUCAUCGAAUCUUUGAACGCACAUUGCGCCCCCUGGUAUUCCGGGGGGCAUACCUGUCCGAGCGUCAUUACAACCCUCAAGCUCAGCUUGGUGUUGGGCCCCGCCGCCCCGGCGGGCCCUAAAGUCAGUGGCGGUGCCGUCCGGCUCCGAGCGUAGUAAUUCUUCUCGCUCUGGAGGUCCGGUCGUGUGCUCGCCAGCAACCCCCAAUUUUUUUCAGGUUGACCUCGGAUCAGGUAGGGAUACCCGCUGAACUUAAGCAUAUCAAUAAGCGGAGGA